Molecule: ribosomal RNA, 492 nt
Filed under: uncultured bacterium
Lineage: Bacteria
Description: partial 16S ribosomal RNA
Rfam family: Bacterial small subunit ribosomal RNA
Source: RNAcentral
AGUGAACGCUGGCGGUAGGCCUAACACAUGCAAGUCGAACGGCAGCACAGUAAGAGCUUGCUCUUACGGGUGGCGAGUGGCGGACGGGUGAGGAAUACAUCGGAAUCUACUUUUUCGUGGGUGAUAACGUAGGGAAACUUACGCUAAUACCGCAUACGACCUACGGGUGAAAGCAGGGGAUCUUCGGACCUUGCGCGAUUGAAUGAGCCGAUGUCGGAUUAGCUAGUUGGCGGGGUAAAGGCCCACCAAGGCGACGAUCCGUAGCUGGUCUGAGAGGAUGAUCAGCGACACUGGAACUGAGACACGGUCCAGACUCCUACGGGAGGCAGCAGUGGGGAAUAUUGGACAAUGGGCGCAAGCCUGAUCCAGCCAUACCGCGUGGGUGAAGAAGGCCUUCGGGUUGUAAAGCCCUUUUGUUGGGAAAGAAAAGCAGCAGGUUAAUACCCCGCUGUUCUGACGGUACCCAAAGAAUAAGCACCGGCUAACUUCGUG